AUUGAACGCUGGCGGCAUGCCUCACACAUGCAAGUCGAACGGCAGCAUAGGAGCUUGCUCCUGAUGGCGAGUGGCGAACGGGUGAGUAAUUUAUCGGAACGUGCCCUAGAGUGGGGGAUAACUAGUCGAAAGACUAGCUAAUACCGCAUACGAUCUACGGAUGAAAGUGGGGGAUCGCAAGACCUCAUGCUCCUGGAGCGGCCGAUAUCUGAUUAGCUAGUUGGUGGGGUAAAAGCCUACCAAGGCGACGAUCAGUAGCUGGUCUGAGAGGACGACCAGCCACACUGGGACUGAGACACGGCCCAGACUCCUACGGGAGGCAGCAGUGGGGAAUUUUGGACAAUGGGGGCAACCCUGAUCCAGCAAUGCCGCGUGAGUGAAGAAGGCCUUCGGGUUGUAAAGCUCUUUUGUCAGGGAAGAAACGGUAGUAGCUAAUAUCUAUUACUAAUGACGGUACCUGAAGAAUAAGCACCGGCUAACUACGUGCCAGCCGCCGCCGUAA
RNAcentral lists this ribosomal RNA (502 nucleotides) under uncultured bacterium. RNAcentral describes it as "partial 16S ribosomal RNA". It matches the Rfam family "Bacterial small subunit ribosomal RNA", at positions 30 to 523 of the family's 1533-position model. The record is from RNAcentral.